RNAcentral lists this ribosomal RNA (497 nucleotides) under uncultured bacterium. Its description in RNAcentral is "partial 16S ribosomal RNA". It matches the Rfam family "Bacterial small subunit ribosomal RNA", at positions 28 to 507 of the family's 1533-position model. The record is from RNAcentral.
GAUGAACGCUGGCGGCGUGCCUAAUACAUGCAAGUCGAGCGAACAGACGAGGAGCUUGCUCCUCUGACGUUAGCGGCGGACGGGUGAGUAACACGUGGAUAACCUACCUAUAAGACUGGGAUAACUUCGGGAAACCGGAGCUAAUACCGGAUAAUAUAUUGAACCGCAUGGUUCAAUAGUGAAAGACGGUUUUGCUGUCACUUAUAGCUGGAUACGCGCCGCAUUAGCUAGUUGGUAAGGUAACGGCUUACCAAGGCAACGAUGCGUAGCCGACCUGAGAGGGUGAUCGGCCACACUGGAGCUGAGACACGGUCCAGACUCCUACGGGAGGCAGCAGUAGGGAAUCUUCCGCAAUGGGCGAAAGCCUGACGGAGCAACGCCGCGUGAGUGAUGAAGGUCUUCGGAUCGUAAAACUCUGUUAUUAGGGAAGAACAAAUGUGUAAGUAACUAUGCACGUCUUGACGGUACCUAAUCAGAAAGCCACGGCUAACUACGUG